GGGGAAUUUUCCGCAAUGGGCGAAAGCCUGACGGAGCAAGACCGCGUGGGGGAUGAAGGUUUGUGGAUUGUAAACCCCUUUUGAUUGGGAAGAACACUGACGGUACCAAUCGAAUAAGCCUCGGCUAACUCCGUGCCAGCAGCCGCGGUAAUANCGGAGGAGGCAAGCGUUAUCCGGAAUUAUUGGGCGUAAAGCGUCCGUAGGUGGUUUAGUAAGUCUGCUGUUAAAGCGCGGGGCUUAACUCCGUAUCGGCAGUGGAAACUACUAGACUAGAGUGUGGUAGGGGUAGAGGGAAUUCCCAGUGUAGCGGUGAAAUGCGUAGAUAUUGGGAAGAACACCGGUGGCGAAAGCGCUCUACUGGGCCAUAACUGACACUGAUGGACGAAAGCUAGGGGAGCGAAAGGGAUUAGAUACCCCUGUAGUC
Molecule: ribosomal RNA, 424 nt
Filed under: uncultured cyanobacterium
Lineage: Bacteria; Bacillati; Cyanobacteriota
Description: bacterial SSU rRNA
Rfam family: Bacterial small subunit ribosomal RNA
Source: RNAcentral